UUUGGGGGGGGGGGGCCAUACAUGCAAGUCGAGCGGUAGCACAGGGAGCUUGCUCCUGGGUGACGAGCGGCGGACGGGUGAGUAAUGUCUGGGAAACUGCCUGAUGGAGGGGGAUAACUACUGGAAACGGUAGCUAAUACCGCAUAACGUCUACGGACCAAAGUGGGGGACCUUCGGGCCUCAUGCCAUCAGAUGUGCCCAGAUGGGAUUAGCUAGUAGGUGGGGUAAUGGCUCACCUAGGCGACGAUCCCUAGCUGGUCUGAGAGGAUGACCAGCCACACUGGAACUGAGACACGGUCCAGACUCCUACGGGAGGCAGCAGUGGGGAAUAUUGCACAAUGGGCGCAAGCCUGAUGCAGCCAUGCCGCGUGUGUGAAGAAGGCCUUCGGGUUGUAAAGCACUUUCAGCGAGGAGGAAGGGUUCAGUGUUAAUAGCACUGUUCAUUGACGUUACUCGCAGAAGAAGCACCGGCUAACUCCGUGCCAGCAGCCGCGGUAAUACGGAGGGUGCAAGCGUUAAUCGGAAUUACUGGGCGUAAAGCGCACGCAGGCGGUUUGUUAAGUCAGAUGUGAAAUCCCCGCGCUUAACGUGGGAACUGCAUUUGAAACUG
This 610-nucleotide ribosomal RNA is filed under the name Serratia sp. VF8(2010). RNAcentral describes it as "bacterial SSU rRNA". It matches the Rfam family "Bacterial small subunit ribosomal RNA", at positions 36 to 635 of the family's 1533-position model. Lineage: Bacteria; Pseudomonadati; Pseudomonadota; Gammaproteobacteria; Enterobacterales; Yersiniaceae. The record is from RNAcentral.